This 484-nucleotide ribosomal RNA is filed under the name uncultured bacterium. RNAcentral's name for it is "partial 16S ribosomal RNA". It matches the Rfam family "Bacterial small subunit ribosomal RNA", at positions 30 to 507 of the family's 1533-position model. The record is from RNAcentral.
AUUGAACGCUGGCGGCAGGCCUAACACAUGCAAGUCGAGCGGAUGAAGGGAGCUUGCUCCUGGAUUCAGCGGCGGACGGGUGAGUAAUGCCUAGGAAUCUGCCUGGUAGUGGGGGAUAACGUCCGGAAACGGGCGCUAAUACCGCGUACGUCCUGAGGGAGAAAGUGGGGGAUCUUCGGACCUCACGCUAUCAGAUGAGCCUAGGUCGGAUUAGCUAGUUGGUGGGGUAAAGGCCUACCAAGGCGACGAUCCGUAACUGGUCUGAGAGGAUGAUCAGUCACACUGGAACUGAGACACGGUCCAGACUCCUACGGGAGGCAGUAGUGGGGAAUAUUGGACAAUGGGCGAAAGCCUGAUCCAGCCAUGCCGCGUGUGUGAAGAAGGUCUUCGGAUUGUAAAGCACUUUAAGUUGGGAGGAAGGGCAGUAAGUUAAUACCUUGCUGUUUUGACGUUACCAACAGAAUAAGCACCGGCUAACUUCGUG